CACUCCUACGGGAGGCAGCAGUGGGGAAUUUUGGACAAUGGGCGAAAGCCUGAUCCAGCCAUGCCGCGUGCAGGAUGAAGGCCUUCGGGUUGUAAACUGCUUUUGUACGGAACGAAACGGCCUUUUCUAAUAAAGAGGGCUAAUGACGGUACCGUAAGAAUAAGCACCGGCUAACUACGUGCCAGCAGCCGCGGUAGUACGUAGGGUGCAAGCGUUAAUCGGAAUUACUGGGCGUAAAGCGUGCGCAGGCGGUUAUGUAAGACAGUUGUGAAAUCCCCGGGCUCAACCUGGGAACUGCAUCUGUGACUGCAUAGCUAGAGUACGGUAGAGGGGGAUGGAAUUCCGCGUGUAGCAGUGAAAUGCGUAGAUAUGCGGAGGAACACCGAUGGCGAAGGCAAUCCCCUGGACCUGUACUGACGCUCAUGCACGAAAGCGCGGGGAGCAAACAGGAUUAGAUACCCGAGUAGUCCCA
RNAcentral lists this ribosomal RNA (472 nucleotides) under uncultured organism. Its description in RNAcentral is "partial 16S ribosomal RNA". It matches the Rfam family "Bacterial small subunit ribosomal RNA", at positions 334 to 798 of the family's 1533-position model. The record is from RNAcentral.